CAAAGAAUAAAGCUGGCCGUGGUGGUGCACUCAGGAGGCUGAGGCAGGAGGAUGGCCAAGAGUUCCAGGCCAGCCUGGGCUACAUAGUGAGUUCAAGGCCAGCCUGAACUGCAUAGUGAGACCCUGUCUCCAAAAAAAGUGAAUUUUACGGAGGAAACCUCUCCACCCAGGAGUCCAAGCCAGAAACCCGGGUCCUCUCCUCGACUACUCUGCCCCAGGUCCUUUAAUCCCACUUCAGACAGCUUCUGUGUCAGCCUCUGCAC
Molecule: long non-coding RNA, 263 nt
Filed under: Fukomys damarensis (Damara mole-rat)
Lineage: Eukaryota; Metazoa; Chordata; Mammalia; Rodentia; Bathyergidae
Description: lncRNA (ENSFDAG00000026803.1)
Source: RNAcentral